Vicia faba (fava bean) is the source of this 324-nucleotide non-coding RNA. Lineage: Eukaryota; Viridiplantae; Streptophyta; Magnoliopsida; Fabales; Fabaceae. The record is from the annotation of a GenBank genome assembly.
UCCUCCCUCCUCUCUUCUCACAAUGGCACAAGGUCUUCUCUUCCUUUCCUGAUUAAACUCUUGCGCCGUACCAAACCUCUGUUCUCCGCGCUAUUACCAGCAAAUUCUCUUCGCCUCUCGCGAAACUCAAUGGUGCAUCUCCAUCUUCUCUUCCCCUUCAAAACCCAGCGCGACGGCGCUAUCUCUCCCGAAUCGUUCUCAAUAUGUCCGUCAUACCUCCGUCUCAUUAUCUUCGUCUUCAUUUUUCAUUCAUUCCUCCAUCAUAGACAAACAUUACGACACCGUACGCCGCUUCUAGAGGCGAUAACUCAGGAAAGCAGUUGA